AUUGAACGCUGGCGGAAUGCUUUACACAUGCAAGUCGAACGGCAGCACGGACUUCGGUCUGGUGGCGAGUGGCGAACGGGUGAGUAAUGUAUCGGAACGUGCCCAGUCGUGGGGGAUAACGUAGUGAAAAUUACGCUAAUACCGCAUACGAUCUAUGGAUGAAAGCGGGGGAUCGCAAGACCUCGCGCGAUUGGAGCGGCCGAUAUCAGAUUAGGUAGUGGGUGGGGUAAAGGCCCACCAAGCCAACGAUCUGUAGCUGGUAUGAGAGGACGACCAGCCACACUGGAACUGAGACACAGUCCAGACUCCUAGGGGAGGCAGCAGUGGGGAAUUUUGGACAAUGGACGAAUGCCUGAUCCAGCCAUUCCGCGUGCAGGAUGAAGGCCCUCGGGUUGUAAACUGCUUUUGUACAGAACGAAAAGGUUUCUACUAAUACUAGGAGCUCAUGACGGUACUGUAAGAAUAAGCGCCGGCUAACUACGUGCCAGCCGCCGCAGUAA
This 500-nucleotide ribosomal RNA is filed under the name uncultured bacterium. Its description in RNAcentral is "partial 16S ribosomal RNA". It matches the Rfam family "Bacterial small subunit ribosomal RNA", at positions 30 to 523 of the family's 1533-position model. The record is from RNAcentral.